GACGAACGCUGGCGGCGUGCUUAACACAUGCAAGUCGAGCGGUAAGGCCUCGUCGGGGGUCCACGGGCGGCGAACGGGGGAGUAACACGUAGGUGACCUGCCCCCAGCUCUGGGAUAAGCAUGGGUAACUGGGACUAAUGCCGGUUAUGAACUUUACUCUCAUGGGGUUUGGUGGAUAGUUAUUUCGGAUGGUGCUGGGCCGGAGGCGUGUCAGCUUGUUGGUGGGGUGAAGGCCUACCAAGGCGGCGACCGGCCGCAAGCCUGAGAAGGCGACCGGCAACACUGUGACUGAGGCACGGCUCGGAAACCUACGGCAGGCAGCAGUGGGGAAUCGUGCGAAAGCGGCGGAAGCGUGAAGGAGCGUCGGAGCGUGGGGGACGGCGGCUUGCGGGGAGCAAAUCUCUAUCGAACCAGACGAAUUUUGACGGUAGCGGUAGAAGAAGCACCGGCUAACUACGUG
RNAcentral lists this ribosomal RNA (460 nucleotides) under uncultured bacterium. Its description in RNAcentral is "partial 16S ribosomal RNA". It matches the Rfam family "Bacterial small subunit ribosomal RNA", at positions 28 to 507 of the family's 1533-position model. The record is from RNAcentral.